GAGGAGCCGCCCCGCCCGGCCCCUCCCCAGUGGGCCCGAAGCCCGCCGCCCGCGGAGCCCCCAGCGCGGCCGGGAAGGGUGUCGGGCGCAGCGAGCGGCCGGGGCUUCCGGGCCGGGCGGGGAUCCGGGAGCCCAGCGGCGCGCAGGACGAGAGGACCGGGCGGGCCGCACUGCAGAGGGAGGGCGCCGAGGGCUCCCCCCCACCGGCUCCCUGCGCGCUUCCCGGCAGGCACAGGGCUCUGGGAGGCAGCUGGGCCACCCACUGCUUCCCCAGCCCCUGCCCGCCAGGCUCAGAGCAAGCGGGGUCAGCGGCGGACGGCCUCGGACUUCAGGGACGCUGGCGCCCCCAGAGGUGGUGCGAGGAGCUCCGGAGCCGAGCCCAGGUCCGCCCUCGUGGCUCCUCCGGCGGCUUCCGGUCCAGAGGAGCCGAGUAGGACCGAGACAUGGCGCGGGGUGGGAGCCUGGGGCUCUCAGGGAGGAGCUCUGCUUGGAUGCCCGGCUGUGUGGAGGCAAAGGAGACAGUCAGGACCCGCCAGCCGCCUUUAUUUCAUCAGAGAGGAGGGGAUGGGGCCGAAGAGGGUCUGCGCCGGGGUCUCAGGGCCAAGCAGCAGGGGUGAGGCCCAGCGGGAGCGCAGAGCGCACGGGUCAUUUGUUGUCCUCCAGGAAGAAGUCGUUGUAGGCCAUGCACAGCGUGGUCAGGAACACCGAGUACUCCUUGAAGUCGAUCUCCCGGUCACUGUUCUUGUCCAGGCUCCUCAUUAGGUCGUCAAUGCUGCUCUCCUUCAUCCUCUGGGAAGACCCAGGCUGAGAGCGGGCUCAGGAGCACCCUGGGCCCUGCAGGCCCAGGGUGCCCCCGAGGCGAGCCGCUCCCCGCCCAGCCCAGCCACGCCUGGCACAGACUCACGCCUGGCACAGUGGAAGGCCAGCCUGCUCUCCCUUCCCAGCACCUCCGCAGCCAGGGGAACGACAACUUGGAGCCGCCUGAGAAGGGGCCAGGCAGUCGUGGCUCCCUGAGCUCAGCCUGGUGCUGCACGGUCCUCUGUCUGGUCCCCUGCCUGCCACCCUGCUCCACCGGGAGCACAGAGCCGGAGCCCUGGCCGGGAGAAAGGGGCUCUUCACUGCCUCAGCUCAGGCCUUCCUAGGCUCCAGCACCCUGGGACACGGGAAGGUGGAAACUGUCUGCAUGGAGACCCUGCUCCCCAGCUGGGUCCUGCCUUCCCCAGGCCUCCCCUGGCCCUGGCCCCCAGUAACCAGCCUUCCCUCUGCCCUCAGUAACUCCAGGGGCCUGGCGGGAAGGCCGGAGGUCAGACCUUCACCCCUGCCCUGGGAAGCACUCAGGGUUGGAGAUGAGCCUGAGGGGCCUCCCCCGGGCUGAACCACCAAGGAGAGAGGAGCUCGCGCCUGGCCUGGAAUUCCAGCUCAGCCUUGAGCUGGACAAGUUCUCCAGUGUGCCUGAGCACGUCGCGUUUGCCUCAGGGGCCUUGCCCUCUGGGGGUGACCUCUCCCUCCAUCUCCAUCUGCUGUGAACCCGGUCUGCCUCCGUUCACAAACUAACCUUUUAGUGCACCUGUCGACCCUGUCUGAGGGCUGUGGCCCCGCACACAGAGGAGAAUCAGGCACAACUUGACCCGGACACCCCAGACUCCUUCGCCUCCCCCAAGUUCCCCCGCACAGGUCCUGUCACCACUGUGACACCCGACCCGGCCAUCAAGACUCCUUCCCCUGCUUCUGGAGCCUCACCCAGGCUGUUCUCCAUCCCCAGACUCCACCUUGCUCCUCAGUGAGAUCUGGCUCAUCCCCCAGAACAGCGGUCUAGAGCUCUGAUGACCCGAGAUGUCCAGCCUCUUCCCUAUGCGGCUGGACAGAGCCUUCCACCAGCCUGCCCCUGGGUCAGAGAACUGGGGAAGGGUGUGUGUCCCCGAAGGGCGGCUCGGGCUUGUGUAGGGUAAGGGAAAGGCCACCUACCUCCCCAAAACUCAGCUCCUCCUUUAUCAGCUCCUUCAGCUCCUUCCGGCUCAGGGUCAGUUUGCUACCCUCUCUCCCUGAGUAUUUGUGAAAAGUGGUGACCAUCGUGGUCAGGGCCUUCUCGAGAGGGGUCUCCAUCAGUGUGCAGCUCUGCAGGGGGUGAAGGGGGCAUCACAGCGCUCAGGAAGCCAGGGCUUCUGCUCCUGGCCACCGUGGCCCCUGUCACUCCCAAAGCCUCCUUCCCAGGACCAGGACUGGAAGCCAUGGUGAGGCCAAAAUCCACCAAGAGGACCCAUCCAGGUCCAGACAGGCUCCAGUGAGACCAGGACAAAGGCUGAGCAAUCAGCGCAGUGAGAGCUCAGGCCCCAGAGGAGGCUCCUCUGCUCUGGAGAUGUUGACAAAGGGGCCCAGGAGCAGAGUGGACAGAAGGCCUCCCCAAAGAGCUGGUGGCAGAUAGGGAACAGGUGCAGGGAGGCAAAAGGAACAUCCACAGAACUGAAGUGCUGCAGGUAGAUCCUGAGGGGAGUCCUGAGCCAGGAGGAAGAAGGUGCUGGCUCCCACUUGCAGCCCAAAGCCCACCCCGCUCUCCACCUGGACCAUCAUUCAUCUCCCACCACCCAAAAUCCUCAGCUUCUCCCACUCGAGGAGACUCAGCCAGGGCCACAGCCCAAAGCAAGAGCCUCUGGGUAUCUGCAGGAGCAUCCUGGUUGCUUCUGGUCCCCCACCGCCACUUAGCAGGAAAUUCUUGCGAACUCAGUUCCGAACUCUGCCCUCUUUCCUGAGCACGCCCCUACUCACAGCCUGGGCCUUCUUUGUGGGGGUGACUGUGGCUUGUCACCCUGUGGCCUCCUCACCCUUCGGGGCCCAGCGAGACAAACGGAGAUCAGAAGGGAGGACUCACCAAGGAGGGGCAAACCCAGAGCAGCCAAGCAGCAGCAGUGGCCUCCUGCCCGCUGCUCUCUGACUUUAUUCCCUUGCUCCCAGGGCCCGAGAGACCAGGGAGAGACAGGGCCAAUGAGAAGGGGUCAGGGACAUGAGGACGCCCAGCAGAGCCUCCUGAGUCGGGCAGGGGAGAAACCCCUGCCCCUUUCACCAUCCUUGCUAACAAACAAGGGCAGGGAACACACUGAGCUCACCGUGGUACACAAGAAAGAUCAGAACUCACUACUCAAUGGAGCAAUAGGCAGAAGAGGGCGGCGUGCGGGGCCAAACCUAAGGUGCCUCCCACAUCCUAGGCCACUCACCCACUCCAGCCGCAGAGGAGUUCUCCGUCAGGCGGUGGGGGUGCGCUUCCUGCCAAGGACACAGUCAAGGUCAUUAGCCACUAUGAAGACAAACUUGUUUUGUUUUUGUUUUUGGGGGGGUAUUGGGGAUUGAACUCGGGACCUUGCGCUUGCAAGGCAGGCAGUGGAACCGCUGAGCUAAAUCCCUGGCCCCUGAAGCCAAACAUUUUGACAGGGCUUUAAAUGAAUGGUUUCUUUUUUGGUUUGGUUUUGGUUUUGGUUUUUGAGAUAGUUCAGACUCCCCUUGA
This is a non-coding RNA of Heterocephalus glaber (naked mole-rat), 3496 nucleotides long. NCBI's taxonomy places the organism in Eukaryota, Metazoa, Chordata, Mammalia, Rodentia, Bathyergidae. The record is from RefSeq and is a predicted model, not a curated record.